GCUUGGAUGGCUCAGUUGGUUAGAGCGCAGGUCUCAUACUACGUACGGUAUGACCACCUGCUGGUGGGCAAUCCUGAGGUCGUGAGUUCGAUCCUCACUCCGAGCA
Molecule: transfer RNA, 106 nt
Filed under: Trametes cinnabarina
Lineage: Eukaryota; Fungi; Basidiomycota; Agaricomycetes; Polyporales; Polyporaceae
Description: Pycnoporus cinnabarinus tRNA
Rfam family: tRNA
About the family: Transfer RNA (tRNA) molecules are approximately 80 nucleotides in length. Their secondary structure includes four short double-helical elements and three loops (D, anti-codon, and T loops).
Source: Rfam by way of RNAcentral